RNAcentral lists this long non-coding RNA (1140 nucleotides) under Felis catus (domestic cat). RNAcentral's name for it is "lncRNA (ENSFCAG00000047179.1)". Lineage: Eukaryota; Metazoa; Chordata; Mammalia; Carnivora; Felidae. The record is from RNAcentral.
AACGAAUUUAUUUUUAGACUUGCCCCUUCCACCCCAAACCUGGGCCUCUCCUCUGACACUGCCUCGCGCUUCCCCAGUCCAGACUCUCACCGGCGCUUUCUCAAUCUGCCAGAUGCGAAGGCGGUGAGGGCGCCCAGCCCCGGUGUCCAGGCAGGACGGCCUACUCACCCGCCCGCAGCCCCUCGGGGUCCACGGCCUCGCAAGGGCCAGGCCAUCAGCAGGGAGGCGACAGGAAGAGGUACGGCGGCGGCGUCCGCGGCGGCGGCGGCAGCGGCGGAGGGAAGGCGGGCAGCAGCCAGGGGGCGCGGGGCGCGGGCGGCGCCAGCAGGUUGGAGGGCGAAGGCCGCGCGGGCAGCGGCGGCAGCGGUUGCGGGGGCGGCUCGGCGACCAGGGGCGGGCGGCCGCGCGCGCCUACAGGCCCGGGCGUGGCGGCGACGGCGGCCUCGGGCAGCGGCGGCAGCGGCAGGUGCGCGGGCGGCGGCGCGGGCGCCGGUAGGCGCGGCAGGUCCUGCAGCGCGAGCGCGGCGGCGGGCGGCGCGGGCACGCAGGCCUCGGGAGGCAGCUCCGGCAGCGCCAGGUGGGCGCCGGGGCCCCAGGGUGCCAGCGGCUCGGGCCGCAGCGGAAGCGCGGGCAGAGGCGGCAGCUCCGCCAGGGCGAGCGCCGAGGGCGGCGGCGGCGGCGGCGUGGGGCUCAGGCCGGGCGGCAGGCCCGGCAGCGGCGGGUGCGGCAGGGACGGCACGGGCGGCGGGGUCAGCGACAGCGACGUGCGGGACCGACCCAGCCGCGAGUGGCCGCGGGCACGGACGAGCCGCGGGUUCGAGCGGGAGCGGGGGAGCCGCGCCGCCAGCUUGGCCGUCGCUGAGGCGCAGCGACCUCCUCCCUCCCCUACGGCGGCCACGCACCGCGCGACCCGGCCAAUCACGGGUCAGUGCGCUGGCGGCCUUCGCGUGCGUCCCGCCAGGUAGAACGAGCUGCCGUGGCGGCCAAUCAGAGGCGGCAGCGCUCCCUGUCAGCGUCUCCUUUCAGCCCUCCCACGGUCUCAACCAAUCACGGUGUCCCGCGGUGCCCUUGGCCCCACCCCCUACUAGCCCCGAGACCAGGCGCUGCACACGCGCAGUUGGCGCCCCCACCUGGCCUUAG